This 85-nucleotide transfer RNA is filed under the name Felis catus (domestic cat). It matches the Rfam family "tRNA". Rfam says of the family: Transfer RNA (tRNA) molecules are approximately 80 nucleotides in length. Their secondary structure includes four short double-helical elements and three loops (D, anti-codon, and T loops). Further hydrogen bonds mediate the characteristic L-shaped molecular structure. tRNAs have two regions of fundamental functional importance: the anti-codon, which is responsible for specific mRNA codon recognition, and the 3' end, to which the tRNAs corresponding amino acid is attached (by aminoacyl-tRNA synthetases). tRNAs cope with the degeneracy of the genetic code in two manners: having more than one tRNA (with a specific anti-codon) for a particular amino acid; and 'wobble' base-pairing, i.e. permitting non-standard base-pairing at the 3rd anti-codon position. Lineage: Eukaryota; Metazoa; Chordata; Mammalia; Carnivora; Felidae. The record is from Rfam by way of RNAcentral.
GCGUGGGUGGCUCAGUCGGUUGAGCAUCUGACUUUAGCUCAGGUCAUGAUCUCCCAGUUUGUGAGUUCAAGCCCCGUUUCGGGCU